This is a long non-coding RNA of Cyprinus carpio carpio, 581 nucleotides long. The record is from Ensembl. NCBI's taxonomy places the organism in Eukaryota, Metazoa, Chordata, Actinopteri, Cypriniformes, Cyprinidae.
UUGGCCCCUGUAAUUUUCUUCCUAGGUUUGACGCUGUAGUCAUUUUCUGUGUGACUUUCCAUUUAGCACAUAUGUCUUGAAAGACGGCUGACAUGAAUUGCAUACCUCUGUCAGACAGAAUGAAAUCAGGUUCCCCUCCUCCGAGUGAGGAUUUCUUCUCUGAGGUGGGAAGCAACAGUUUGAGCAGUGGCACUUCACAAGGGGAAAAAUUCAAGCAAUCGAGAGUAAUAAUCUACAAAUCCAAUAGAUAUCCAUGUCUGUGGGAACUGUGAGGCAAUGGACCCAUGAUAUCCACUCUCAACAUCAUGUUUGGAUGUGUGGUGGUGGUGGUCUGUUGAAUUUUCCCAGCAGGUUUGCCAUUCUCAUUUUUCAAGGCUUGACAUUUUAUACACCUUUUCACAUACUGUUUCACAGAUGUCCACAUGACUGGCCAGAAGGCAACUUGAUGCACUCUCUGGUAAGUUUUGUUAAUUCCUAGGUGACCACUUAAUGGAUGUGCAUGGCAGUGGUGGAGACAGAAAGUAGUUGGAGGGUGGGCCUCUAAAAGAGUGGCGGGGCCUGAAUAAUUCACAUCACCUGGC